Molecule: non-coding RNA, 2056 nt
Organism: Misgurnus anguillicaudatus (oriental weatherfish)
Lineage: Eukaryota; Metazoa; Chordata; Actinopteri; Cypriniformes; Cobitidae
Source: RefSeq, a predicted model, not a curated record
GCCAUUAAAACUAAAGAAGAAGGUGCUGUGCACGGGCUCAUUUGACUACGCAUAGUACUGUAUUAGAGGUAAAAAAAUCAUAUAAAUACUGUUCGGCUUCUCGCACAAACCGAUCGUUUCGUUUCUUAGGAUAUCAAUGUGUCGUCACGAGCGGCAGGGUUUAAUUUGGAUUUGUAUGUGCAUGUUUUUACUGUCUGAGAUUUUGUUACUAUUCACAUGCAUACAGACUGAAACGGUUGGAGUUUCUACAUUUGUGUUGUACUGAAGAAACAAAAUCACAUACAUCUUGGAUGACCUCGGGGUAAGCUGAUAAAUAUAAAAAAAUCAUUUUAAGAUGAAUCCCGUACGUUGGCGGCUGUUUUAAACUGGGUGCUCGGCUCAGACCCUUUUGCCAGUAUGAAGCCGAUUUCAACGGUAACUGCAGAAAGCGUCAGCACGCUCAGCUCAUCACUGGAGUAACGUCUGUACAACGGGUGAGAUAAAACUCAACGCCUGACUGAAUCAUCCAUUCCCUUUUCGAUCCUACGCCAUACGUUAAACUUGAGGUAAUCUUGCUUUUGCUGUUCUAAAAUAAACACUGCUCUUAGCACACCACCCGUACAUGGCACACAAAACAGGUCUUGUGAGGGGGCUGUGCCCACACAUAGAAAUUCUGUAGGUCCACGGGCUUCUCCCCUUUCAGCGAACAUCACAGCGCUUAGUCCACCAUCGUGGUCUCCAAUCUCCAUUACCAACAGCCUGAGUGCUACACCUACAGACACCCCAACCCAUGCAGCAGCUGGCAGAAGUCAGACAUCAGGCCAAACUGGAUUUCAACACACCCCACCCUUACAUGGCACACAAGUAUACGACACACAACACAGGUCUUCUCAGGAGGCUGUGCCUACAGGUAGGAAUUAUACAAAGUGAUCUCUCUCGGUUUACUCUGACAUAUCUACGUACAAUGUUUUGCUAGUAAUCUGCUAUGCCUGCUUUUUCUUGUGUUCUACAGCAAUAGGCUUUACGCCCAGCUGCACUACUUCCUGAACUUCAGCCAGCUCCUUGUUUCCUGUCUGCCAUUAUUGGACAAACUGAUUAAUCCAGGUGUGCCUCAGCUUAGUAGUCACAACAACAAUAAUCAGACACACCUGGAUUUAUCAGUUUGUCCAGUAAUGGCAGACAGGAAACAAGGAGCUGGCUGAAAUUCAGGAAGUAGUGCAGCUGGGCAUAAAGCCUAUUGCUAAGGAGAUCCUCAUCCAGCUCGAUUUUAUUAGAGAGCAGCAGUUGCAGACUUCACCCCUGACCCAACACAUUUUGGGCUCCCACUUUCAACUAUUGAGGAGCUACAAUGUUUGUAGGAGACAUUAAAUAAUCCAGAUGAGAAGAAGAAUUUGGUGAGACUGUUUUUCCUGGAAUGGUCGGAGACAAGACUCUUAAAGACACCGUGGGGUGGGUCCUGAAAAAAACAAUAAACUCUUCGUGGCGAGACUCAUCAAUUGAAGUGGGGUCAACUGAAGCCUGCAUUCAAAGGGCUCACUUUGAAAAGUGUGGUUUUGGAUGCAGUCCGCCGGAAUGCCCUGACCAAAGAUAACACAGAAAAGGAGAUAGAGCUCCUCAUCACCAGGUGGUCGGUGCUAGCAUAUGACAGGGAUGGUGGCCGAAUCCAGACAAUAGACAGACAAUGAAUUAAAAUGUUUUAAAUUUAAAAAUGUUGAUUUUUGGAAAAUUCGUAUUUGAACUGAUUUUGUGUGUGUGUGUGCACCUGGUAAUUAUCACGUUGUGUCCCCACAAAGAUAGGAAUACUAGUAUUUUUGUGACCUUGUGUCCCCAUGAGGAAACAAGCUUAUAAAUCAAACAAAAUGAUGUUUCUUGUAAAUGUGAAGUAGGAGAAGGGUUUCUGUGAUGGUUGGGUUUAGGGAAUGGGGUAGGUAAGGGGAAUAAAAUAUACAGUUUGUAUGGUAUAAAAUGCAUUACGUCUAUGGAAUGUCCCCACAAAACAUGGAAACCUGUUUGUGUGUACGAGAGAGAGAGAAUGUGUGUUCAAGUGAAUAAAAAAUGCAUUAAACGUGAAAUCCUU